GUGUUGUUUGUGAAGGGCACACGGUGGAUGCCUGGGCAUUAUGAGCCGAUGAAGGACGUGUAAGGCCGCGAUAGGCCUCGGGGAGUUGCCAAUAGAGCGUUGAUCCGAGGGUGUCCGAAUGGGGAAACCUGGCCAUGGUUAUGUGUGGUUACCCAUCAGUGAAUGUAUAGCUGGUGUGGGGGUGACGCGGGGAAGUGAAACAUCUUAGUACCCGUAGGAGAAGAAAAUAAUUAAUGAUUCUGCUAGUAGUGGCGAACGAACGUGGAUGAGGCUAAACCGUAUGCGUGUGAUACCUGGCAGGGGUUGCGUGUGUGGUGUUGUGGGGCGUUGUUGGAGGAGGCUGCCGGCUCCUCGCUUGUGUAUGUGUGUGUUAGCGGAAGUGGUUUGGAAUGGCCUGCCGUAGUGGGUGAGAGUCCCGUACGUGAAAGUGCAUGCAUGUGAGUGGAUGAUGUUCCCGAGUAGCAGCGGGCUCGUGGAAUCUGCUGUGAAUCUGCCGGGACCACCCGGUAAGCCUAAAUACUUAUGAUGACCGAUAGCGGAUUAGUACCGUGAGGGAAUGGUGAAAAGUACCCCGGGAGGGGAGUGAAAUAGUACCUGAAACCGUGUGCUUACAAUCCGUCAGAGCCUCUUUUUGUGGGGUGAUGGCGUGCCUUUUGAAGAAUGAGCCUGCGAGUCAGCGGCAUGUCGCGAGGUUAACCCGUGUGGGGUAGUCGUAGCGAAAGCGAAUCCUAAUGAGGGUGUUGUCAGUGGCAUGUUCUGGACCCGAAGCGGGGUGAUCUACCCAUGGCCAGUGUGAAGCAGCUGUAAGAGG
Molecule: ribosomal RNA, 811 nt
Filed under: Corynebacterium belfantii
Lineage: Bacteria; Bacillati; Actinomycetota; Actinomycetes; Mycobacteriales; Corynebacteriaceae
Description: partial 23S ribosomal RNA
Rfam family: Bacterial large subunit ribosomal RNA
Source: RNAcentral